UUUGCUUAAUUGCACCACAUGUGUUUUUUAUUGAACAAAUUUCUUUGGUGGCGGGAGCAAUCCUACCGCCAGAGGUUAUAACUAAACCAAACUUUUUAUUUACAGUCAAACUUGAUUUAUUAUUACAAUAGUCAAAACUUUCAACAACGGAUCUCUUGGUUCUCGCAUCGAUGAAGAACGCAGCGAAAUGCGAUACGUAAUAUGAAUUGCAGAUAUUCGUGAAUCAUCGAAUCUUUGAACGCACAUUGCGCCCUUUGGUAUUCCAAAGGGCAUGCCUGUUUGAGCGUCAUUUCUCCCUCAAACCCCCGGGUUUGGUGUUGAGCAAUACGCUAGGUUUGUUUGAAAGAAUUUAACGUGGAAACUUAUUUUAAGCGACUUAGGUUUAUCCAAAACGCUUAUUUUGCUAGUGGCCACCACAAUUUAUUUCAUAACUUUGACCUCAAAUCAGGUAGGACUACCCGCUGAAC
Molecule: ribosomal RNA, 467 nt
Filed under: Candida tropicalis
Lineage: Eukaryota; Fungi; Ascomycota; Pichiomycetes; Serinales; Debaryomycetaceae
Description: eukaryotic LSU rRNA
Rfam family: 5.8S ribosomal RNA (bases 136-289)
Source: RNAcentral